GGAGUUUCCAAAGACCAUAUAUAGGCUGGGCCAACCGGAUGGGCUGUGGAUUCCAGGGGGGCCUGGCUGGCAGGGGCUUGCCCACAGAGCCGCAGUGGCUGAGUGCUGGCAUGUAGGCUAAGGGGUCAGAGCCCUGACUCUGAAGAGCUGCUUCCUGGGACAGGAGACCAGGCCCCAGGCCCUAUUUGCUCAUGUCCAGAGCACCAAGCCUAUCCACAGUAGGGUCAACUGUCUGGCCUUCCCUGCUGUGUGCUAGUGACCAGAGGUACAUGUCCUCAUGGGGCAGAAAGACUGGUGUACGAGGCCAGUACGUCCCUUGGGCUGGGUAGCAGCAGACAUGCUGGCUGGCCUCCCCUCCCAGCUGCCCCAGAAUCUGCCAGGAGUUCUGGCUCUGCCUUUCCCCUGUAGAUGAGCACAUCAUCAGGGUUGUCAGGCUCCCUGGCCAUUGCCUGACCCCUCAGUGGACUGUCUGUCCUCACUGGGGUUGGUCAGAAACUGGGAAGUACCACCUGUCCUUGAGACCCUGUGGCCAGUGGCCCGUCCAGGCCACACCUGGUUUUCCCACAAGCCACCUCUGUGUUCAGGAGGACGUUAGCAGGGUGUGUCCACGGGAGGAGCCAGGCCUGUCCUCCUGGUGUUCGUAAGCACUGGGGGCUGGUGUGCGUGCUGGUCCACUGCGUCUUGCAUGGCCACCCAGCAGCCAGGGUGAAGAGAAAGCAGGCCAGCGCCGCCCCGGGAGUCUCUGAGAUGGGUGGACUGUUGGUCAAAGAACUGUGUGGAGUAAAACCCUCCUCUCUAGUUAUCUUGGCCAGGUAUGGUCUGGACGGGAGGAAGGAGGUCCAGAUGGUGCACAGCAACUCACUCAGUGACAGCGCCCAGGAC
Molecule: long non-coding RNA, 882 nt
Filed under: Marmota monax (woodchuck)
Lineage: Eukaryota; Metazoa; Chordata; Mammalia; Rodentia; Sciuridae
Source: RNAcentral